GCACUCGCUUCAGCAGUACAUAUACUAAAAAUUAGAAUGAUACAAAGAAGAUCAGCAUGGCCCCUGUGCAAGGAUGACAUGCAAAUUCAUGACACAUUUCCUUUUUUU
Suncus etruscus (white-toothed pygmy shrew) is the source of this 108-nucleotide small nuclear RNA. NCBI's taxonomy places the organism in Eukaryota, Metazoa, Chordata, Mammalia, Eulipotyphla, Soricidae. The record is from RefSeq and is a predicted model, not a curated record.